Molecule: RNA transcript, 7013 nt
Organism: Mus musculus (house mouse)
Lineage: Eukaryota; Metazoa; Chordata; Mammalia; Rodentia; Muridae
Gene: Pnpla6
Gene name: patatin-like phospholipase domain containing 6
Exons: 27
Source: RefSeq, marked validated
CAGGCUACAAGACCUGCUACCUAGUCCGAAACAAUCGAUGGAGGCCCCACUGCAAACCGGAAUGGUAAGAGUUGGGGAAUUUUUGUACCGGACUACAACUCCCGGCGGUCUUGCCGUGCACCACGCGAUUCUCUCUCCGAGAACCAGGCAUGUGCAGGUGAAACUACGUUUCCCGGCAUGCAUAGCGGGAGACCUAGUCUCUCGGAAGGCUUAGUUGCUCCCCCCACGUAGGGGGAUGGGAAGGAAACCGCAUUGACCCAUUCUGCAGAUGGGGACACCGAGUCACGAACUGAAUACAACCUCCUCCGGGGCAGAGGUGAUUCAAAAGACCCUGGAGGAGGGCUUGGGGAGACGGAUAUGCGUUGCCCAGCCUGUGCCGUUCGUUCCGCAGGUGCUGGGCGUGAUGAUCGGGGCCGGAGUGGCGGUGCUGGUCACCGCCGUGCUCAUCCUCUUGGUGGUGCGAAGGCUGCGGGUGCAGAAAACUCCAGCCCCGGAGGGUCCCCGGUAUCGGUUCCGGAAGCGGGACAAAGUGCUUUUCUAUGGCCGGAAGAUUAUGCGGAAGGUGUCACAGUCCACUUCUUCCCUGGUGGACACAUCAGUCUCCACCACUUCCCGGCCCCGCAUGAAGAAGAAACUGAAGAUGCUUAACAUUGCCAAGAAGAUCUUACGUAUCCAAAAGGAGACUCCGACCCUACAACGGAAGGAGCCCCCACCUUCAGUGCUGGAGGCUGACCUCACAGAGGGAGACCUGGCCAAUUCCCACCUACCCUCUGAGGUACUCUACAUGCUUAAGAAUGUUCGGGUGCUAGGUCACUUUGAGAAGCCGCUCUUCCUGGAGCUCUGCCGGCACAUGGUCUUCCAGCGUCUCGGGCAGGGGGACUAUGUUUUUCGGCCCGGUCAACCAGAUGCCAGCAUCUAUGUGGUUCAAGAUGGGCUGCUGGAGCUCUGCCUACCAGGGCCUGAUGGGAAGGAGUGUGUGGUGAAGGAGGUGGUUCCUGGAGACAGCGUCAACAGCCUUCUGAGCAUCCUUGAUGUCAUCACGGGUCACCAGCAUCCCCAGCGGACUGUGUCAGCCAGGGCUGCACGGGACUCCACAGUGCUGAGACUCCCAGUAGAAGCCUUCUCUGCUGUCUUCACCAAGUACCCUGAGAGUUUGGUGCGAGUGGUACAGAUCAUCAUGGUAAGGCUGCAGAGAGUCACCUUCCUGGCGCUUCACAAUUACCUGGGUCUGACCAAUGAACUCUUCAGUCAUGAGAUCCAGCCCCUACGCCUUUUCCCCAGCCCCGGCCUCCCGACCCGAACCAGCCCUGUCCGUGGCUCUAAACGGGUAGUCAGCACCUCAGGUACUGAGGACACCUCAAAGGAGACCUCUGGCCGGCCCCUGGACUCCAUUGGAGCUCCUCUGCCUGGACCUGCAGGGGAUCCCGUGAAGCCCACAUCCUUAGAAGCACCCCCAGCCCCGUUACUGAGCCGCUGCAUCUCCAUGCCAGUAGACAUCUCAGGCUUGCAAGGUGGCCCUCGUUCUGAUUUUGACAUGGCCUAUGAACGUGGACGGAUAUCUGUUUCUCUUCAAGAAGAGGCAUCUGGGGGACCUCAGACAGCAUCCCCUAGGGAGCUCCGGGAGCAGCCAGCGGGUGCCUGUGAAUAUAGCUACUGUGAGGAUGAGUCAGCCACAGGCGGAUGUCCCUUUGGGCCCUACCAGGGCCGCCAGACAAGCAGCAUCUUUGAGGCUGCAAAGAGAGAGCUAGCCAAGCUGAUGCGGAUUGAGGACCCCUCUCUACUGAACAGCAGAGUCUUGCUACAUCAUGCCAAAGCCGGCACCAUCAUAGCCCGCCAAGGGGACCAGGAUGUGAGCCUGCACUUUGUGCUCUGGGGCUGCCUGCACGUGUACCAGCGCAUGAUUGACAAGGCUGAGGAAGUGUGCCUAUUUGUGGCACAGCCAGGGGAGCUGGUGGGGCAACUGGCGGUGCUCACUGGGGAACCUCUCAUCUUCACACUACGUGCCCAGAGAGACUGCACCUUCCUGCGGAUCUCCAAAUCCCACUUCUAUGAGAUCAUGCGUGCACAACCCAGUGUGGUACUGAGUGCAGCUCACACGGUGGCUGCUAGAAUGUCCCCCUUCGUGCGCCAGAUGGACUUUGCCAUUGACUGGACAGCUGUGGAGGCUGGUCGUGCGCUCUACAGGCAGGGAGACCGCUCCGACUGCACCUACAUUGUACUCAAUGGACGUCUCCGUAGUGUCAUCCAACGAGGCAGUGGCAAGAAGGAGCUAGUUGGGGAGUAUGGUCGAGGGGAUCUCAUUGGCGUGGUGGAGGCACUGACCCGGCAGCCACGAGCCACCACUGUACACGCAGUGCGAGACACUGAGCUGGCCAAGCUUCCCGAGGGCACCUUAGGCCACAUCAAACGUCGGUACCCACAGGUUGUGACCCGCCUUAUUCAUCUGCUAAGCCAGAAAAUUCUAGGCAAUCUGCAGCAGUUGCAAGGACCCUUUCCAGGCUCCGGGCUCAGUGUUCCGCAGCACUCGGAACUGACCAACCCAGCCAGCAAUCUGUCUACUGUAGCUAUCCUCCCUGUGUGUGCUGAGGUGCCCAUGAUGGCCUUUACUCUGGAACUGCAGCAUGCUCUGCAAGCUAUUGGUCCCACGCUCCUCCUUAACAGUGACGUCAUCCGGGCACUCCUGGGGGCUUCAGCACUGGAUAGCAUUCAAGAAUUCCGGCUGUCAGGGUGGUUGGCCCAGCAGGAAGAUGCCCAUCGCAUUGUGCUCUACCAAACUGACACAUCCCUGACGCCUUGGACCGUCCGUUGUCUGCGCCAGGCCGACUGCAUCCUCAUUGUGGGCCUGGGGGACCAGGAACCCACUGUUGGCCAGCUGGAGCAAAUGUUAGAGAACACUGCUGUCCGUGCCUUGAAGCAACUGGUUUUGCUGCACCGGGAGGAAGGCCCUGGUCCCACGCGCACUGUAGAGUGGCUCAACAUGCGCAGCUGGUGCUCAGGGCACCUGCACCUGCGCUGUCCUCGCCGCCUCUUCUCACGGCGCAGCCCAGCGAAACUUCAUGAGCUGUAUGAGAAGGUUUUCUCCAGGCGUGCAGACCGUCACAGCGACUUCUCCCGCUUGGCACGAGUACUCACAGGAAACACUAUUGCUCUGGUGCUGGGUGGGGGCGGAGCCAGAGGCUGCUCGCAUAUUGGGGUGCUGAAGGCAUUAGAGGAGGCAGGAGUCCCAGUCGACCUUGUGGGAGGCACAUCCAUAGGUUCCUUCAUUGGGGCCUUGUAUGCCGAGGAACGCAGCGCCAGCCGAACUAAACAACGAGCCCGGGAGUGGGCCAAGAGCAUGACUUCUGUACUGGAGCCUGUAUUGGACCUCACAUAUCCUGUCACCUCCAUGUUUACUGGCUCAGCCUUUAACAGAAGUAUCCACCGUGUCUUCCAGGAUAAGCAGAUUGAGGACCUGUGGCUGCCUUACUUCAAUGUGACCACAGACAUCACUGCCUCUGCCAUGCGCGUCCACAAAGAUGGUGGGUGCCAUCCUGCCAAGCCCUGCUACAACCUUGUUGGCCGGCUGUGUGGGGAUGGGUUGUAAGGGGAGGGGCAGCUGAGCAUCUGGGACGUUGUUAACACAAGUGACCGUCCACCUGGGCCCGUCCACCGAUCACUAACCAUCACCCACUAAUGUCCCGAAGGCCCCAGGCUGCGUGUGGCGUUACGUCCGGGCCAGUGCCUCCUACUGUCCCUACCUGCCCCCACUCUGCGACCCCAAGGACGGGCACCUGCUGGUGGACGGGUGUUACGUUAACAACGUUCCAGGUCAGCGAGCCCACAGGCUGGCCGGGCCUCCGAGUGUGUCUGAGCGUGUCUGUGCGUGUCUGUGUCUGUGUAUCCCACCGGGCAGGCUCCCUGUGGCGGUAUGUACGUGCCAGCAUGACGCUCUCGGGCUACCUACCCCCGCUGUGCGACCCAAAGGAUGGGCACCUGCUCAUGGAUGGUGGCUACAUCAACAACCUGCCAGGCAAGUGGCUGCCCACUCACAUCUGCAUGGACACUUAUCACCAGACACAUGCCCACACUGACUUCUGCACAUGCCGACUGGAAGGGACAGGUCUAUAUGAAUGGAGAAGCUCAAGAGGACACACACAGCUUUGCACAGAGUUAUAGACUGACACACAUGCAUGCAUGCAUGCAUAUAUUCAUGCAUACAGAUAUACGAGUGUAUGUGGACAGUAACAUGAACAUUUGAAAAGUACAAACAUCAGACACGGUAGCACACACUGUGAUCACAGCUCUUGGGAGGCAGAGGCAGGUGGAUUAUUGAGUUCAAGGCCAGCCUGGUCUACAGAGUGAGUUCCAGAACACCCAGGGGCUAAACAGAGAAACCCUGUCUGAAAAACAAACAAACAAACAAGUUCAAGGCUUUCUUUAGCUACAUGAUGGAUUUAAGGCCAUCCUGGGCUGCAUGAGACCCUAUCUCAAAAUAUAUAUUAUUUUUAAUUAAAAGUAAGAUAUGCUCAUUUGGUAGAGAAUUUGCCUAGUAUGAGCAGAGGUCUACAUUCUAUAUCCUCUGCUCACACAAAGCCAGGCAUGAUGCUGCUCACCCAUUAUCCCAGGAUUCAGAUUGAAGCAGCAGGAUUGGGAAUCCAAGGCCAUUUUAAGCUACAGAGCAAGUUCCAGACAAGCCUGAGCUACAGGAAAUGAAGUGCCUUUCCAUUCUCAUGUGUCACAGUGGACACAGAGAGGCUGGCAUAUGAGGGACAAGAGCUGGAGCCUAGUUACACGUGCACAUGCAUAGAGAUCACGCUUCUACAUGUGCACACCAGCUCCCUAUGCACACCUGUUCUCUCGGGUGCUUACAUAGGCAGAACACAUGAACAUGUGUGAAUACACACAUACUUGAGAUGGAAUUAACCACACUGGCCACACCUUCCCUGAACAGUCUAUGGAAUAUGCCUGUAUAGACCUGAAGAUUGAAUAAGGUGCCUAUGUGACCAAGAUAAGCAUUUUUUCACACCCACCAACUUAAAGGUUCUUUUUUGUUUGUGUUUUAGACAGGAUCUAGUGUAGUUCAUGGUAGCCUCAAACUUGAUAGGUAAUCAGAGAUGAUCUUGAAUUUCUGAUCCUCCUGCCUCCACGUCUGGGCUGCUGGGAUGACAAAUGUGCUCCACCAUGCCCCGUUUGCAUGGUGCUAGGGAUGGAAUCCAGGGCUCUUGUGCUGCACAGACACUCUACUAACUGAGCUACAUUCCCAUCCUGCUGCUGACGUCACACACAUAGGUGGGAGGUCGAUGCAAGUGCAGCUCUGAGAAAACCUCAUUCUCUUUGUGGCUGCACAACCUUUAAUGCCAGCACUCCAGAGAUCUCUGAGUUCGAGGCCAGCCUCAUCUACGUAGUGAGCUUCAGAACAGCCAGGGCUACACAGAGAAACCCUGUUUCAAAAAACAACCAACAAACCAAAAGAACUCGGUCUCAGAAGUGUAUGCUCCAGAAACAUAAGUUAGUUACACACAGACACACAUGCUUGAUCUCAUAGACCAGGAUCUGGCCAGCUAUAGCACACUGUGUGCAUCUGGGCCUGUGCUUGACUUUAUGAAUAAAGGAUUUCUUUAUAUUUACAUAUGUAUUUGUGACCACAACACAUGGAGGUUGAAGGACAAUUAAUAGGAGUUUUCUCAUUCUAAAAUAACCAGUUGAACUCUGGUUAUAAUGGUUUGGUAAGUGCUCCACCUGCUGAGUCACCUACAUGACCAUGUUUAGUUAGUUAGUUAGUUAGUUAGUUAGUUGUUAAACCCGAACUGACCUCUAGCUUCCUACGUAGCUGAGGUUGGUCUUGAAUUUAUUCCUCCUCUGUCCACUUCCCAAGUGUUGGGAUUCUAGGCCUGAGCCUGGCUUAGAAAUAACGAUUCACUGGGAUAGCCAUGCCCAUGACCCACCUCUCAUCUACUGUCUCUGUUGCAGAACAACAGGGGUGAAAACUCAGAGCAGAACUAAAAGCGUUUUCUAAUGGUCCUGCAAGCACUGGAAAUGUACUAUACAUGUAAACACUGCCACAGUCCCUCAUAUGGCGUUCACAUAAGUGUUCACAGACCUACAGAUAGACACCAUACUUGGUUAUGCAAACGUAACCUGAGCUCCAUCCCAGUACCCAUGUAAAGAUGGUCACAGCGGAGGACAUCCAUAGCCCAGCACUUUGGAUGGGUGGGGGGAGUAGACUUUAGGAUCCCCAGGGCUCACUGGCCAGCCAGUCUAGUGGAACGGAUGAACUCCAGGUUCAGUGGGUACCUUUUCUAAUUUAAAAAAAAAAAAAAGGGUGCAGUCAGGCUGCAGGCAGUUAAGAAUGUGCACUGCUCUUGAAGAAGACUUAAAUUCUGUUCUCAGCACCUACAUCUUCACAACUACCUGUAACUCCAUCUCCAGAGACAUCUAAUGCCUCUCUUGGCCUCUGCAGACAUUGUGCACAUAUGCACAUAAGCACAUGCAGGCACACAACUAUGUACACAGAAAUAAAUCUAUUAUUUGUUUUGUUUUGUGUUUUGAGACAGGAUAUCUCUGUGUGUAGUCCUCAAGGUCCUGGAAUUCAUUCUGUAGACCAGGCUGGCCUUGAACUCAGAAAUCCACCUGCCUCUGCAUCCUGAGUGCUAGGAUUAAAAGUGUACAUCACUUAAUUUUUAUUUUUAUUAUUUUUAUUUUUAAGGUGUCAGGUGAUAGAGGAAGACACUCAGUGUUAACCUCCAGCCUGCACACAAUACACACACAAAUACACGCAUACACACACAUACGGGUGGAUAUUUCCUGGCAUGCAUUUAGACCGGCUGAGCGAGAGAGAUGCAGUCAUAGGAAGACAUGGUGCUUCCCAUGGGGUCUCAGAGAAGAGAGAUGUAAACAGACAAUCACAGGCAUGUGCAGCUGACAUGCAUACCCAGCAACAUAAACUCAAGGAUAACUACACAAAGUUGAAUAGGCAGUCAGGUAUUUCCUUGGGCUGGGGUUGGCUCUGUAGUACACAGACAUACAGACAUACA